CCUGGUGGCUAUAGCGAAUGUGAACCACCCGAUCCCAUCCCGAACUCGGAAGUGAAACCGUUCAGCGCCGAUGAUAGUAUGGGGGCUUCCCAUGCGAAAGUAGGGCACCGCCAGGC
RNAcentral lists this ribosomal RNA (116 nucleotides) under Gammaproteobacteria bacterium. The record is from RNAcentral. Lineage: Bacteria; Pseudomonadati; Pseudomonadota; Gammaproteobacteria.